AUUGAACGCUGGCGGCAUGCUUUACACAUGCAAGUCGAACGGCAGCGCGGGGGCAACCCUGGCGGCGAGUGGCGAACGGGUGAGUAAUAUAUCGGAACGUACCCAAGAGUGGGGGAUAACGUAGCGAAAGUUACGCUAAUACCGCAUACGAUCUAAGGAUGAAGGCAGGGGAUCUUCGGACCUUGUGCUCCUGGAGCGGC
RNAcentral lists this ribosomal RNA (200 nucleotides) under uncultured bacterium. RNAcentral describes it as "partial 16S ribosomal RNA". It matches the Rfam family "Bacterial small subunit ribosomal RNA", at positions 30 to 230 of the family's 1533-position model. The record is from RNAcentral.